UGGGGAAUUUUGGACAAUGGGGGAAACCCUGAUCCAGCCAUCCCGCGUGUGCGAUGAAGGCCUUCGGGUUGUAAAGCACUUUUGGCAGGAAAGAAACGUCGCGGGUUAAUACCCCGCGAAACUGACGGUACCUGCAGAAUAAGCACCGGCUAACUACGUGCCAGCAGCCGCGGUAAUACGUAGGGUGCAAGCGUUAAUCGGAAUUACUGGGCGUAAAGCGUGCGCAGGCGGUUCGGAAAGAAAGAUGUGAAAUCCCAGAGCUUAACUUUGGAACUGCAUUUUUGAACUACCGGGCUAGAGUGUGUCAGAGGGAGGUGGAAUUCCGCGUGUAGCAGUGAAAUGCGUAGAUAUGCGGAGGAACACCGAUGGCGAAGGCAGCCUCCUGGGAUAACACUGACGCUCAUGCACGAAAGCGUGGGGAGCAAACAGGAUUAGAUACCCUGGUAGUCCACGCCCUAAAACGAUGUCAACUAGCUGUUGGGGGCCUUUCGGGCCUUGGUAGCGCAGCUAACGCGUGAAGUUGACCGCCUGGGGAGUACGGUCGCAAGAUUAAAA
Molecule: ribosomal RNA, 555 nt
Filed under: uncultured bacterium
Lineage: Bacteria
Description: partial 16S ribosomal RNA
Rfam family: Bacterial small subunit ribosomal RNA
Source: RNAcentral